UUCCCUUAACUGAAAUGACCCCAGCAGAGCUAUUCACUAGAAGACAUCCUCCUUGAUUUCUUGGGGGGCCCAUAAGAUGACUGAAGUUGUAGAGAGAAUGCAAUGACUGGCAUAGGAAGACUCUGAG
RNAcentral lists this long non-coding RNA (127 nucleotides) under Junco hyemalis (dark-eyed junco). RNAcentral describes it as "lncRNA (ENSJHYG00000018438.1)". Lineage: Eukaryota; Metazoa; Chordata; Aves; Passeriformes; Passerellidae. The record is from RNAcentral.